This 860-nucleotide ribosomal RNA is filed under the name uncultured bacterium. Its description in RNAcentral is "bacterial SSU rRNA". It matches the Rfam family "Bacterial small subunit ribosomal RNA", at positions 60 to 914 of the family's 1533-position model. The record is from RNAcentral.
AGUCGAGCGGUAGAGAGAAGCUUGCUUCUCUUGAGAGCGGCGGACGGGUGAGUAAUGCCUAGGAAUCUGCCUGGUAGUGGGGGAUAACGUUCGGAAACGGACGCUAAUACCGCAUACGUCCUACGGGAGAAAGCAGGGGACCUUCGGGCCUUGCGCUAUCAGAUGAGCCUAGGUCGGAUUAGCUAGUUGGUGGGGUAAUGGCUCACCAAGGCGACGAUCCGUAACUGGUCUGAGAGGAUGAUCAGUCACACUGGAACUGAGACACGGUCCAGACUCCUACGGGAGGCAGCAGUGGGGAAUAUUGGACAAUGGGCGAAAGCCUGAUCCAGCCAUGCCGCGUGUGUGAAGAAGGUCUUCGGAUUGUAAAGCACUUUAAGUUGGGAGGAAGGGCAGUUGCCUAAUACGUAACUGUUUUGACGUUACCGACAGAAUAAGCACCGGCUAACUCUGUGCCAGCAGCCGCGGUAAUACAGAGGGUGCAAGCGUUAAUCGGAAUUACUGGGCGUAAAGCGCGCGUAGGUGGUUUGUUAAGUUGGAUGUGAAAUCCCCGGGCUCAACCUGGGAACUGCAUUCAAAACUGACUGACUAGAGUAUGGUAGAGGGUGGUGGAAUUUCCUGUGUAGCGGUGAAAUGCGUAGAUAUAGGAAGGAACACCAGUGGCGAAGGCGACCACCUGGACUAAUACUGACACUGAGGUGCGAAAGCGUGGGGAGCAAACAGGAUUAGAUACCCUGGUAGUCCACGCCGUAAACGAUGGAUACUAGGUGUUUCGGGUAUUGACCCCCGAAGUGCCGUCGCUAACGCAUUAAGUAUCCCGCCUGGGAAGUACGACCGCAAGGCUAAAACUCAAAGGAAUUGAC